AUUGAACGCUGGCGGCAGGCCUAACACAUGCAAGUCGAGCGGAUGAAGGGAGCUUGCUCCUGGAUUCAGCGGCGGACGGGUGAGUAAUGCCUAGGAAUCUGCCUGGUAGUGGGGGAUAACGUCCGGAAACGGGCGCUAAUACCGCAUACGUCCUGAGGGAGAAAGUGGGGGAUCUUCGGACCUCACGCUAUCAGAUGAGCCUAGGUCGGAUUAGCUAGUUGGUGGGGUAAAGGCCUACCAAGGCGACGAUCCGUAACUGGUCUGAGAGGAUGAUCAGUCACACUGGAACUGAGACACGGUCCAGACUCCUACGGGAGUCAGCAGUGUGGAAUAUUGGACCAUGAGCGAAAGCCUGCUCCAGCCAUGCCGCGUGUGUGAAGAAGGUCUUAGGAUAGUAAAGCACUUUAAGUUGGGAGGAAGGGCAGUAAGUUAAUCCCUUGCUGUUUUGACGUUACCUACAGAAUAAGCCCCGGCUAACUUCGUG
Molecule: ribosomal RNA, 484 nt
Filed under: uncultured bacterium
Lineage: Bacteria
Description: partial 16S ribosomal RNA
Rfam family: Bacterial small subunit ribosomal RNA
Source: RNAcentral